RNAcentral lists this ribosomal RNA (381 nucleotides) under uncultured marine Chaetocerotaceae. RNAcentral describes it as "SSU rRNA". It matches the Rfam family "Eukaryotic small subunit ribosomal RNA", at positions 587 to 972 of the family's 1831-position model. Lineage: Eukaryota; Bacillariophyta; Thalassiosirophyceae; Chaetocerotales; Chaetocerotaceae. The record is from RNAcentral.
AGCUCCAAUAGCGUAUAUUAAAGUUGCUGCAGUUAAAAAGCUCGUAGUUGCAUUUCCGAGGCAAGGGAUUAGUCCGACCUUUGGUGGGUAUUUAAUCCUCUUGCCUCGUCCUUGAGUGGUGCUUCUUGGUAUUAAGUUAUCGAGGAGAUAGCCGCUCAUCGUUUACUGUGAGAAAAUUAGAGUGUUCAAAGCAGGCUUAUGCCGUUGAAUAUAUUAGCAUGGAAUAAUAAGAUAGGACCUCGGUACUAUUUUGUUGGUUUGAGAACCAAGGUAAUGAUGAAUAGGGACAGUUGGGGGUAUUCGUAUUCAGUUGUCAGAGGUGAAAUUCUUAGAUUUACGGAAGACGAACUCAUGCGAAAGCAUUUACCAAGGAUGUUUUCA